UAGGGAAUCUUCCGCAAUGGGCGAAAGCCUGACGGAGCAACGCCGCGUGAGUGAUGAAGGGUUUCGGCUCGUAAAACUCUGUUAUUAGGGAAGAACAAAUGUGUAAGUAACUGUGCACAUCUUGACGAGACCUAAUCAGAAAGCCACGGCUAACUACGUGCCAGCAGCCGCGGUAAUACGUAGGUGGCAAGCGUUAUCCGGAAUUAUUGGGCGUAAAGCGCGCGUAGGCGGUUUCUUAAGUCUGAUGUGAAAGCCCACGGCUCAACCGUGGAGGGUCAUUGGAAACUGGGAAACUUGAGUGCAGAAGAGGAAAGUGGAAUUCCAUGUGUAGCGGUGAAAUGCGCAGAGAUAUGGAGGAACACCAGUGGCGAAGGCGACUUUCUGGUCUGUAACUGACGCUGAUGUGCGAAAGCGUGGGGAUCAAACAGG
This 429-nucleotide ribosomal RNA is filed under the name Acidobacteriota bacterium. RNAcentral's name for it is "Acidobacteria bacterium partial 16S ribosomal RNA". It matches the Rfam family "Bacterial small subunit ribosomal RNA", at positions 355 to 776 of the family's 1533-position model. The record is from RNAcentral. Lineage: Bacteria; Pseudomonadati; Acidobacteriota.